AACGAACGCUGGCGGCGUGCUUAACACAUGCAAGUCGAACGCGAAAGGGACUUCGGUCCUGAGUAAAGUGGCGCACGGGUGAGUAACACGUAGGCAACCUACCCUUCAGUGGGGGACAACAGAGGGAAACUUCUGCUAAUACCGCAUACGGCCUUGUACUGGGAUGUACGAGGAGAAAGGAUUUAUUCGCUGAGGGAUGGGCCUGCGGCCUAUCAGGUAGUUGGUGGGGUAAAGGCCUACCAAGCCUGCGACGGGUAGCCGGACUGAGAGGUCGACCGGCCACACUGGAACUGAGACACGGUCCAGACUCCUACGGGAGGCAGCAGUGGGGAAUAUUGCACAAUGGCCGCAAGGCUGACGCAGCAACG
RNAcentral lists this ribosomal RNA (368 nucleotides) under uncultured bacterium. RNAcentral describes it as "bacterial SSU rRNA". It matches the Rfam family "Bacterial small subunit ribosomal RNA", at positions 29 to 396 of the family's 1533-position model. The record is from RNAcentral.